CGGAGCGUGGCGCAGUCUGGUAGCGCACUUGACUGGGGGUCAAGGCGCCGGAGGUUCGAAUCCUCUCGCCCCGA
RNAcentral lists this transfer RNA (74 nucleotides) under Rhodospirillaceae bacterium. Its description in RNAcentral is "tRNA-Pro". It matches the Rfam family "tRNA". From Rfam's summary of the family: Transfer RNA (tRNA) molecules are approximately 80 nucleotides in length. Their secondary structure includes four short double-helical elements and three loops (D, anti-codon, and T loops). Lineage: Bacteria; Pseudomonadati; Pseudomonadota; Alphaproteobacteria; Rhodospirillales; Rhodospirillaceae. The record is from RNAcentral.